Zophobas morio is the source of this 274-nucleotide long non-coding RNA. RefSeq lists it as uncharacterized. The transcript has 3 exons. Lineage: Eukaryota; Metazoa; Arthropoda; Insecta; Coleoptera; Tenebrionidae. The record is from RefSeq and is a predicted model, not a curated record.
AGAAAAUCCUGCCGAAGAGACCGGGUUACUUGAAGAAAAAGGGGGCUAUGAACUAAAAAAGAUGUUUUAUGUGUGCCUUUUUUCGGGCAGCAUACACCUUGCAUUUGUAGCAAUUCUAAUUGUUAUUGCACUGUGGUUUCGUAAAACUAAAGCUGUCAUCAGUAGAGGGCCUGUUUUCUUGUGUCACUUAAGCAUUUCAUUAAUGGGCAUGAUAGCAACAUCCAUAUUUUACACCAAGACUCAAACCGAUAGAGUAAUCACCCAAGGUUAUGAU